Molecule: transfer RNA, 69 nt
Filed under: Ovis aries (sheep)
Lineage: Eukaryota; Metazoa; Chordata; Mammalia; Artiodactyla; Bovidae
Rfam family: tRNA
About the family: Transfer RNA (tRNA) molecules are approximately 80 nucleotides in length. Their secondary structure includes four short double-helical elements and three loops (D, anti-codon, and T loops). Further hydrogen bonds mediate the characteristic L-shaped molecular structure. tRNAs have two regions of fundamental functional importance: the anti-codon, which is responsible for specific mRNA codon recognition, and the 3' end, to which the tRNAs corresponding amino acid is attached (by aminoacyl-tRNA synthetases). tRNAs cope with the degeneracy of the genetic code in two manners: having more than one tRNA (with a specific anti-codon) for a particular amino acid; and 'wobble' base-pairing, i.e. permitting non-standard base-pairing at the 3rd anti-codon position.
Source: Rfam by way of RNAcentral
CCUGAUGGCUCAGAUGGUAAAGCAUCUGCCUGCAAUGCAGGAGACCCAGGUUCAAUUCCUGGGUCAGGA